This 225-nucleotide long non-coding RNA is filed under the name Elaeis guineensis (African oil palm). Its description in RNAcentral is "long non-coding RNA (EGUI_LNC022681)". The record is from RNAcentral. Lineage: Eukaryota; Viridiplantae; Streptophyta; Magnoliopsida; Arecales; Arecaceae.
AUGGCUGAUUAUGAGUCUUAUGUGUCUGAGACUCUGUGAUUGAGAAUUAGGAUUCUCUGAUCAUGAGUUCCACAUAUUUUGGAUACCGGGGUCAAAAUUUUGAAUUUCAAAUUUUGAAUUUGAAAUUUAAACUCUUUGAUCAGGGUUUCAUAUCGAUGGUCUCUGAUGCCUAAUUGCCCAUCGAAUUUGGACUCAAUAAUUAUGAGAGGUUUUAUUAGUGAUUUG